UCGCGGCUUAUCACCGGCAGUCCCCUUAGAGUGCCCAACUGAAUGAUGGCAACUAAGGGCGAGGGUUGCGCUCGUUGCGGGACUUAACCCAACACCUCACGACACGAGCUGACGACAGCCAUGCACCACCUGUGAUCCUGCCCACAAGGGGAGACCGUGUUUCCACGGUUGUCACCUACAUGUCAAGCCCAGGUAAGGUUCUUCGCGUUGCGUCGAAUUGAACCACAUGCUCCGCUGCUUGUGCGGGUCCCCGUCAAUUCCUUUGAGUUUUAGCCUUGCGGCCGUACUCCCCAGGCGGGGUGCUUAACGCGUUAGCUUCGGCACCACGAGGGUCAAAGCCCGUGACACCUAGCACUCAUCGUUUACGGCAUGGACUAC
This 378-nucleotide unclassified non-coding RNA is filed under the name uncultured bacterium. Its description in RNAcentral is "contains 16S-23S intergenic spacer region". The record is from RNAcentral.